UUUCUUCUUCAUAUCCAUUCUAACACCACACCACCAAUAACAUGAGGGCUAAGGUAACAACAACAUCUUCAACUCUCUCUAUCCCUUAAAAUUGUUGUUGAAAUUGAUAUAUUGUGUGAUUUCUCUAUCUUUUAAAAUUGUUGUUAAAAUUGAUAUAUUGUGUGAUUUGUUUGUUUGUUAUUUGAUUUAUACAACAGUGGAAGAAGAAGCGAAUGAGGAGAUUGAAGAGGAAGCGUCGAAAGAUGAGACAGAGAUCCAAGUAGAUUGAUCGAAAUCAAAGUUUUAUGUUUUUGUUUUUGUUUUAGAUCGGCUUAGGUAUCGGUAGAUAUAUGUAUCGGUAUCGGAGUUUUCUUUUUAGCUCGGAAACGAUUUCACCUUCGGUUGAUGAGUCGGAAUAGCUACCAAAAUAGUGGUUUUAUGUUUAUCGUAAUUUGUAUCGGAUUUUAUGGUUUUUUCGUAAUAUCGGAAGAAUCGGAUUAGUAGCUUAUGGUUAUUUGGCUUAAUGUUUGAUUUGAUUAAUUAGUUUGAUUUAGUUUUUAACUUUUUAUUAAAUAGAGAAGAUAGCAUGGCCUGAGAUUAAGAUUAGUUUCAUAAUUCCUUUAUUCAUGAUUUGCCCCUUGUAUGCGGUUUUUAUUUAAGCAAUUUUUAUCACUAGAAUUAGUCAUGCUUUCACACUAAAAACCUUCACAUGAUAGUUGCCUAUAGUUUUUAUCUGCUUGUAAAGUUGUAUGCCAUGGUCUAUUAUGGAUUGAAUGGUCUAAAAGUUUGAAGCAUGUUUCAAACUUCUGAUGUACUUAGUCCGAUAUGGUCAUGGGAAUAUAGGAAUGUUAUGGUAGUUCUUGUUGUUUCCGGCUUGCUUGUUAAAUGUUGGUUUAUUGCAUUUUGUUGUUGUUGUAGAAGACACAAUAUUGUAGUGCCUGUUUAGGCUGUAUCAUAAUGCAGGCAUACAUUAUCUGAGCCUUUCUGCAAGCCUUACUCUUUGCCAUCAUAGAGUUUGUAUUUUAUGUUUCCUGUUAGGUUUGAGGCACAUUCGCUGAUAACACCUUGAGUUGGCAUACUGCCCUACCAUGUCAAGGUUUGGAAAUAAAGAAAACCUUUAAGCAUGUUUUUGUUUCUAAAUGUUGCAUUGUACCGUUUUUGUAUAGAGGAGUAAGGAGGUGCAGUUUUUACUUCACCGAUGUGCCUAUUCUUACUCCGGGAGUACUGUUAAUUUCUAUUACUUGUGAUGCUGGCAAACAUGCCUUGUUAGUUGUUACAAUGGAUUGGAUCCAUCUGUGAUUAAAUGUGAUUUGUUAAGCUAUGGAUGGGCAGAAUUGGUUGUCAUUUGGUUUGCUAAAAUGCUAAGUACUGUACUUUAAACAGUUCCUAAGAGCAAUCCCAAUGGGAGGGCAGUUUGGUGCCCUCCACGUAGGUGUAGGUUUGGGGAUGACUCUAGUUAUUAGGUGGUAAACAUUUGUAUUUUUGCAACCCAACCAACCCAACAAAGCAGGGCCUAUAGCAACUUAGAGCAUUCCCAAUGGAGGGUGGAUAAAUCCACCUCUACGUAGGUGCCACGUAGGUCCACCUAGGCAAAAUCCACCUCAAAGAGAGAGGUGUAUUUGCACUUGGGUGGUAGUUUCCCAACGCAGAGUGGACUCUUUGGUAUAGAAAGUGGAUUUUUUUAAAAAUCCGGACGGCAUGUCACAUGUCGUCCCAUUUUUUUUUGCAAAAAAAUAGGGAGACGGCAUGUCACAUGCCGUCCGAGAGUCCAAAAUUUUAAAACACUACUUAAAACUUAAAAAAACAAACGGAUGCCGUCCGAGAGUCCAAAAAUUUUAAAACACUACUUAAAACUUAAAAAAACAAACGGACGGCAUGUAAGGAUUUAUCCACCUUCAAAUCCACCUUCAAAUCCACCUUCAAAUCCACCUUCAAAUCCACCUGUGGGCAGCCCACCUCCGAAAUCCACCUCCCCUUGGGAAGCUCUUUUUGUCUACAAGGUGGAUUUAUCCACCCCACCUCCAAAAUCCACCUUGCAUUGGGAAUGCUCUUAUGUGUUUCAUUUUGAUGAAUAGGUCUAAUAACAGUUGGGUUUUUAUACUUUUUAUGUUUCUCUAGCCAGUCUUAUUCGCAGUCUUAAGUGGCCAUUGUCUUGUGUGCCAGAGUAGCACACUGCGUGAAUAACCUUGAGAUGAUAGUGGGAGCAUAUGCACUGGGGUACAACAGUAAAUCUUUUUAUUUGAAUGCACAAUGUAGCUUAGGACACAAUCAACUCACUUUAUGUCUCUAUCCAUAGUCGUGCAAUUGUGUAUACGGAAUAAUUCUAUGCUUACAAACUUUUUUCACAAACUACCUCCACAAACUGAUGGGGAUUCAACCGAUAAAUAAAUCAGAAUUUUCUUAUGUACUCUUUUUUAGUUCUUUCCAUGAAACCGAAACUCUUUUGCAAGCAUCUCUCUUCUCUCUUUUUUUUUUUUUUUUUUUUUGUUAUUUUUUUAAUUAUAAUUAAUAAACUCAACGAAUUACACAAAAGUAGAGGACAAACGCGCUACAAACUGCGCGGAAAGUCCAUUCUGGAUAGCAAACUCGAUUCUCCUAAAUACAUAUUCGUUCAAACCUGCAGUCAUCACGUUACUUUUUUUUUGUGUGGAGUUAUUUUAUUUCUCACUAGUCCAGAAUUUGAAAAUAAAUAUCUUAUUAAUCCCAUAAUCAAUUUUAUACGAUAUUAUUAAAUCUUUCAUUGGUAUAAUAAAGGAAGAAGAUGAUUUUAUCUCGAAAACUUGUGAUAAAAGGAAAGAACAAUGGGUGCUUAGGGGUAAUUUACCUCUUUAAUUAUUUCAUUAACUCUACCCUAACUGGUGCUUAGGGGUAAUUUAUAAAUCUCACUAAUAAAUUUUUUUUAUUCUUCACACAAUUAGGAAAAUCCUUUUGAUUUUGAUUCAUUCCUAAAACAAUAUUCAUAUUAACAACCAAUUUUUUUUUUCAAUUUCCUCUAGUUUUACUACUAUUUAUAUCUAAAAUUUUAAAAAUAUUGACAAUGAUUAUUCAAUUAUUCAUUAAAAUAAAAAAUUGACAGAAGAUUGAUCAUGUUUAUUUUGCAAGAGUUCCCAUUCCUGAUGCACAAUGAUUUUCGAGUCUAUACUGUUAUAAUCUUAUGAGUUCCUUAUAUAGUGGGGAAAAAAAAAGAAUGAGACAGAGUAAGAAUCAAAACAUAACUUGUUAGAUAUUUUGUAUAUUCUUUAUUUUCUUAUUUGUAGGUGGAUAUACAAAUUUGUAAAGAUAUUAAUUAAUUAUUGAUAACAACUGUAUUUAUAUAUGUAUGGUUAUUGAGGAUAAUUAAGUAAACUUUGAAAAUAAUCAUUGGCAAGAUCAAUUUUGCUCUUGGCAAAAUCUGGAACCUUAAUAUUAGACAAACUACUAAACAAAAGAUUUUUGAAAAUUUGAAGAAGAGAAUGCAUGUAAUAUAUAUUAGAAUUUACAGUUUUAGUUUGCUAUAAUUUGAGUAAGAGUGAAAGCUUGGGUGAGAGAGAGAGAGGGAAAAAAAGUGUGUUUUUUUUUUUUGUGAUGAGAUCUGACGCAAAAUUUUUAAUUACGUGGACAAACCACCUCAGUUGACACGUUUGUUUGUAGAAGAAGUUCGUGGGGUUUCUUAGUGAGAGCAUUCCCAAUGGUAAAAGGCUUUUAGGGGUGCCACAUAAGAGAGAGGGAGAAGGUUUUUAGGAUAGACUUGAUAUUAAAAGUAAUUUAUGGUUUUAGAGUUGCCAAUGGUUGAGUGUUAAAAGCUUAAAAUUUCACUUUCCCAAAGACAUGAUGGCUGUGCUUGUUUCCCCGGAAGUUAUGGGGAAACGAAAACGGAAAGAUUUUAAAUUUUAAGAAAGGUAACAAAUUUUCAAAACUUUCCAUUUAUAACCAGGAUUGUUGCUUGAUUACCAGAUCAAUAAAAAAGGAAAAAAAAGACGUGGCGAGAUUAUAAGCUUUGGGGACCGGUGGGGACCAUAAAUUAGAGACGUGAUUUUCUGUUUUGCAUAGAUUUCCUGGUUUAUCAAAACUGCAAUUUUUGCUGACGUGUUUUACAUUUUAAAAACCUUUUUACAGUGGGACCCAUAUCAACUGAAAUCACCAAGCACCUGGAAAAACAAAAAAUCAGCAAAUCGCUGACGUGGUUUUCCAUUCCAGUUUUUUUCCUAGAGAACAAGCACGGCCGAUGUAUAAAAUUUAACUUUGAAUUAACUAACUAAUCCUAUGUGGCACUUUUAACUCUCGGCAAAUUUGCCAAGGAGUUAAAAGUAUUUUGUUUGAAAAAUGUGUUAAUAUCAACCAUUGGCAAAAGUUUUUUACUAAAAGUUCUUAAAAGGAAUUUAAAACCUACCGUUGGGAAUGCUCUGAGUGUAGAAUUACUCAAUAUUGAGCGAGUAUGCAAGGAUAACACGUGUUGUUUUUGAAAGUCACAGUGGAUUGUUUGAUGCUUAGAUAUCUCUUUUUCGACACCUUAAAUACUCAAGUUGAUUAUUAGAUAUCUCAUUGUUUUGGAAUUCAUCAGUGGUCCUACCUCAAGACGUUCCUUGUUGUAAUAUUGUACUUGAAAAUGAAGCCACGAAGGGAUAUACGUUGUAUAUCUAUUUUCUAUAGUGACUUUGAGACAAAAUUUCCUAAACUUUUUGAAAACUAUCUUUAAUUUUAAAUGUCAGAUUAGAUGAAUGAAAAUGUGCAUAAUUGACCAACGACAUCUUUUUGGUUAUGAAUCUGAGUUUUAUUCCAUAUCAAAUUAAUGACAGGCCCAUAUACACGUCGAACAGAUUCGCAUACACUAAUUUACAUUGAUAAGGUGUCUUUUUUAUUAAAAAAUUAUUUUCUAUUCCAUCUCUUUGUAAUACAUUGAUCUUAUUGUUUAUUGUUUGGUAAUUUGUUUUUUCAGUAUUUUGAGUAUAGAGGAGUUACCUUAAUCUACUACCUUUGGAGUAGCUCGGCCCCGCUGAGGGGUUGGGCCACGUCUGCACCCUGCUAGUUCAGAUGCAAGCCUUUAUUUCAAAGGUUGUCUUUGCAUUCUUCUUUUUUGAACUGGCAGGAGUGCAGGUGUUGAAACCCGGGUUUGACUGAAUUGGAAAAUUAUCCUUCUGAAUCUUCCUGCUCCAUUUUGUCAAUCCCGGUUGAGUGGAUGUGUCUUUCAUCCACAUGGUUCUUGCAUUUGAAUUGCUUGGCCAAGCUCUUUGACAGAGCCUGAUGAUAACGAAAAAAAUGAAAAGACUUGCCUUGACUUGGAAGUAUUGCCGUGGUUGUAAUUAAGGUAUGUGCCAAAGUUUUCAUAGCCUCUUUUUGCAUUACCUUCUUUUGUUAUCAGUUUUGGUUUUAAUCGCAAGCAUGUUGAUGGAUUUGAUGCUAUUCAUUUUCAGUGACUAGGUACUGCUUAGUCUCUCUGACGCUGCACAUGGACAUUAUACAACUAAUGGAGAUUCGUGCACUUUGAGCUUUGGUGCCUUGGUGGAAUACGUGUUACUACCAGAUCUUUGAGCUUUAAGAUGAAUACUUGAUUGCUAUUGGAAUUUUUGACCUAAAUACAUAUUCCAUGGAAAUUUAUGUGCUGCCUCACCUUUAUAUAUAACUUCCUAGACUCCUAGCAUAAAGAUUUGGAACCUGAAUAGAACAUUGUGUAUUUAUUUGUAUGAUCCCAUCAAUGGCAGCUACUUCAAAAUUGCAGUAUGACUUAGUUCCGUGUUUUUUUUUUCACAAUGUUUUGUUUGCCAAAUUGUUGUCGCAAAUGACAGAACUACUUAAAAGUCGUUGCAAGGUGUCAUUUUGAUUUGAUUAUUUAUUGUUUUUUACAUGGAAAUGGUAGUGGGUUCUUCUGCAGAGUUUGUUGUAGAUGGCUAUAGUAUAAAAUGUGCAGUGGAAGUAUCUGUUGUGCGUAGUGGAAACUUAAACACAACUAAUGAUGAUUGAACUAGUGUAUGAAAUAAAAUAAAACGAUAAAAUCAAACGAACAACCACACAGGACACAAGAUUUACAUGGUUCGGCAAUAUGUCUAUAUCCAUGGGGAGAAAGGAUAAUGUUUUUCUUAUAAAGAUAAGAGCUAAUUAGUGAUACCCCCCGGAAUUCAAGGCAAAAAAAGGAACCCCCCCCCCCCCCCCCCCCCCCCAACUCCAAAAAGAUUUGUGUUACCCCCCCCAAAUUAUUUUCUGGUGAAAAAUAGACUUGAACUGCCAUAAAUACCCUUAUGCCACAUCAGACUUUUAAUUUGACCUAAACCAUUGCUGACGUGGCAUAGAUAAGAUAUUAUGGGCUGGGUUUAGAUAUGGUAUAGAUAAGAUAUUAUGGGCUGGGUUUACGCACAGACCCCUGUGCGUGCAUAUUCACAUAGUACAGAUUAAGUGGACAAGGGCCAAGUGAAGCAAUGGGUUAGCUAAAAGGUGAACAAAAAUGAAGAAAGUAUGCACUAGUCGGGGAUUUCGGGCAACUCUUUUUGUUAUUAGUAUUCCAGGUAUACAGAGAACCUGAAAUUAUGGUAGGUGAGUGUGUCAGUGGUGCAUGACUCUGCUAUGUCAAAAUAGAAACCCAUAGGCACGACUGAUAAGUUCCUAAAAACAAAUACUAAAACAACCCAUAAGUAAUAAUAAGUAAAAAACACACGAUAUUUUUAAAGUAGUAAAAUCCAAUAUGGGAAACGUUCAUGGUUGUUCUCGCGAUAAAAAAUAAUUCUACUAGAUGAAAAAGAUAUACAAACUAGGGAUGAGCACGGUUUGGUCGGUUUUGACCAAAACCGAAGCCAAACAGCCUAACAGGUGUUUUGGAAUAAACACAAUCGAAAUCAAACGUGUUGUUUCCCAAAAUCGAACCGAACCGAUCAAAAUAUGUAAAAACCGAAACCGAACCGAACACGUAGUUCAGUUCGGUUAACCGAAUCAAAACCGAACACCUUUUAAGUUGGGCUGAAUUAACUUGGGCUUAAGUAUAAAGACUAACAUGGGCUGAAUUAACUUGGGCUAAAGUGCUAAACUAAAGACUAAUAUGUUUGGUUCGGUUUUAGGUGUUGAAAAUUUUCUAAAACCGCAACCAAACACCCUAACAGGUGUUUUGUAAAAUUUCAAACACCAGCCAAACACUUAAACACCUAAACACCUUCAAAAGUGUUCAGUUCGGUUGUGUUCGGUUCGGUUCUUCGGUUUUGGUCUGGUUUUGUUUAGCCUUAGUACAAACCUAUCAACUACCUGCAAUCACUGUGAAUUGACACUACUUGUUAUCUCUAACACCUUGACUUCACUAGAGUACCUUGAUGUAAGCACAAGACACUCGACUUCUUGAUGAACACACAAGAAGACUCGAAGCCGAACUAUGAAUAAGUUUACACCAGAGUUCCUUGAUGAACACACAAGGAUACUCGACUUCUUGAUGAACACAGAAGAAGACUCGAAGAUAAAUCACUAUAAAAAAAUAAAGAAAGAUGAAUUGGGGAAGGAUAAAAAAUAGAAUUACACAAGGAUCGAUUGAGGAAGAAGAUGAUCUUUGUGGAAGAGCCGACAAACAAAUUAGGGUUCUAUGGAGGCUAGGUUGGAACUCUUACUUUUCCCAUAACACCAAUGCCAUAUUUAUAAUCUAGGGUAUGUACGUACCUCCUAACAUGGUACGUACAUUCCUGAACAAACUGCAACCUAACAUAGCUUAGAAGGAUGAGAAUGAAGACAUAGGGACGACGCUUACACAUCAAGGUACUUCCUAAUAAUGUCGUCAAGGUGAGAUAAUUCCAGAUACUCCUAACCUAAUCACAAAAUGAUGUCAAACAACCGAAUGUCGGUUUCAUGAACUUGAACUCAGACUUCUACUAGUAUGUCCUAGCCUCCUAGUGAUACCUCAAUGACUGAAUACAUGUAAAAAAUAACUUUGCACUCAAGUUUUGAAGAAAGAAAGUACAUAAAGAUUGAUAUUGUAAGUACCAAACCAUGCUAGGUGGAGUAUUGAGGACACAGGAGCUAGAUAAGGAGAGCAAACUGGGAAGUACCCAAUCGGAGUUCAGAACAUUCUAGAGUAUCACGGAUAAAGCACGUGAUGUCUGGCUGUAAAGCAUUCACUGUAUAGUAUGUGAUGGAGAAUGAAACACGUAGGAGAUAAUAGAACCAUAGGAUGCAAAGGAGGAUCCAACGGUUCAAGGAAGGCGGUGAAUAUUGCUAUAAAAGGAUCACGUUAGGGUUCGCUAAAAGGUAACUGUUCAUUCUUUGCUAAAAACCUAUUCUCUAAACCUAGCCGCUUACUGACUUGAUCGUUGGAGCUUUAUCCACCGGUCAUUGUCCGGUGGUCAUUGCAGGUACUACCGUUGAAGCAGUUGAAGGACCCAGCUGAGCUCAUCAAGGAAAGUGGGCUUACAUUUGGCGCUAGAAGAAGGGCCACUUUGCUGCUUCCAGAUCUAGGGUUUUGGAGAAGAAGGUUGAAAGAAGAAAGUAGAGAGCAAUGGUAACACAAACUAGAUCGUCGACAUAUCUCGGAGGUGUAGCAGCUGGAGAUGUUCCGCAAGUUGUUCAUCCUCAAAAUCUCCAAGAUGGAGACGAAGAUACAAACAGAUUGAGAGAAGAGAACUUGAGACUGAGGGAGCAGAUAAGAAGGAUGGAAGAUAUGGAUCGUCAAAAUCUUCAGGAAGGAGAGAACGAAGCAGUCAGAAAUGAAAACCAUCAGAGACCAUUGGAGAGGGUAAUACUAGGAGAAGGUGAAGGAGGAACAAGGCGUCGGAUUCCGGGCCUAAGAGUGAAUGAAGAAGAAGGGUCAGGAGAAUCAGGGGUAAGAGCUCGCGAAGGGAGUCGAAGGGAAGGGAUGAAUGAUGAAGAGAUCCCGGCGGCAGAUCAAUACACCAGACUUUUCGAUAUGAUAUGCAAGGUCCAAGAGGACAUGAGGGCGCAGAACAAGGGAAAGAACAUGGAGGUGACUCAGGAUCUGGAGAGAUUGGGCAAGAGGCCAUUAGCCGAAGUGUGCUACCGUCACGGGUUCCCAAGUAAGUUUCAACCUCCUAAGUUUAAUGAGUAUGAUGGAACAACUGAUCCUGUGCAGCACUUGAAUAAUUUCAAGCAAAAAAUGGCGGCUUGGGAAGGGAGCCAGUAUGACGGAAUGUGGUGUCGACUGUUCCCUAGCAGCUUGAAGGAUAACGCUACAGACUGGUAUCUCAGCUUAUCACCAGGGAGUGUAUCAAGCUUUGCUCAGCUCAGUGAGAUGUUUGUCAAGCAUUAUAUUCAUCAGAAAAGACAGGCUGCAGAUAUAGCGUCACUAUUUGAUUUGGAACAAGCUCCAGGUGAGUCUCUUAGAAAGUUUGUUACUAACUUUAAAAAUGAGAUUUUGAGAACAGAUGGCGGAGUAGAUGAAAGAACAGCUGUGGUAGCAUUUCAGAAGGGUAUAAAUAAGAAGUCUCCUGCAUAUGACUCGAUUGUGUCAUCACGGAUGGCGACUCUGGAUGAACUUUUCCAGAAGACGGAGAAAUACAUCAGACUAGAGGACAUAGCAUCACGGAGAGCUCCAAAAGUGGUACCGGCAUCCGUUAACUCGGUGGCGGAAAAAAGUAAAAAAGGGAGAAGCUAGCUCACGAAGUGAUUCGCCACCAAGAGAUUCCGGCUCUAGGAGGAACAAAGAUGGAUCGAGAGGUCACGACAAAAGAGAAAGGAGGGAGGAUAGAGAUACUUCACCAAGAAAGUUGAUACCACCGAAACCGCUACCGCAACUCACAAUGUCACUAGAUCAAAUUUUGAAGAGAAUAAGAGGAAGAAAGUACUUCCAGGAGCCGUCGGUAAGAUGUAGAACAGUCAGGGGAAAGCCAUUCUGUGAGUAUCAUCAGACUUACAACCACCCUACUGGAGAUUGUUAUGAGUUCAAAUCCUUGAUAUGGAAAUGGAUGGAGGAGGGCCAUUUGAGAGAGUUUAUAGUGGAAAAGAACAAGGAGGAAGACAAAACAGAAAUUCAAGUCAGAGGGACCGUUAACAUGAUCUUAGAAGGAGCUAGAGAAUCCUUGAACGAGGUCAGGAGGAAGAUAAGAAGAGUGAUGCAGAUAAGAGAAGACUUACAAACAGUCGGAGCCGUUCCAGUCAUGCGAAAUGGCAGACCAGUGCAUCAGAGUGAGUCGAUUGGGUUUUCAGAGGAAGACCUCAAAGGAGUAGUCACACCACACAAUGACCCAUUGGUCAUUUCCAUACUCAUUGGAAAUUGGAAUGUCACGAAAGUGUUAGUAGAUUGUGGAAGUGAGGUAGAUGUUCUGUUCACCAGGGGCUUGGAUCAAAUGAAACUGGAGAGAGGUAGCUUGGCAAAUUCACCUGGAGACAUUUACGGAUUCAAUGGGGGAGCAGUGCGGCCAGUUGGAGAGAUAGUCUUACCGGUUACAGCACACACCAGAACCGUCAUGUCGAGAUUUGUGGUCAUAGAUGCUCCAACAGAGUACAAUGCAAUCUUGGGAAGAGAAUGGAUUCAUCUUAUGAAGGCAAUUCCGUCAAGUUACUAUCAGAAGAUCCGUUUUCCGACUGAAGAUGGACAAUAUGAGAUAAGGAGCAAUCAGGCUAUGGCCAAGAAUUUGAAGAUAGCAACAGUAAAAAGUAUGAGGCAUGGCACAGCAGGUGCUGGGCCGUCAUCUAUCCCUGCAUAGCAACGACAGAAGGAGGGUGACGGGUUCCCGCGUGAAGUGCUAAAGACAGAAGAACAAACGGAACCCGUCAACCUCAAUGAGGUAGGGGAUCAGCGGAUCACCUACAUGGGAACCAACUUGGAUGAGAAGGUGAGGUUUGAUCUUUUACAAUUCUUAAAAGAUAAUAUGGAUGUAUUUGCUUGGUCUAUGAAUGAUAUGACAGGGAUCGAUCCAGACGUAGCAUGUCACAGAUUGAAUGUCAAUCCAAGUUUCAAACCAGUCGCGCAGAAAGUGAGAACAAUAAAACCUACACUGGCAGAGGCAAUAAAACAAGAGAUCGAGAAGAUGGAGUCAGCUGGAAUAACAAGAGAAGUUCAGUAUCCAGAGUGGGUAUCUAACAUAGUGGCGGUUCCGAAGAAAAACGGAAAGGUUCGGAUCUGUAUAGACUUCACAAACUUAAACAAAGCAUGUCCAAAAGAUAGAUACGUCAUGCCAAGGGUGGAUGAGCUAGUGGACAGAACAGCAGGCUUUGGGUUACUGUCAUUCAUGGAUGGCUAUUCCGGCUACAAUCAGAUUCCUCUAUAUGGUCCAGAUCAGGAGAAAACGGCCUUCUAUGCUGGUAAGAAAACUUUAUGUUAUACCAAAAUGCCAUUUGGUUUGAAGAAUGCAGGAGCUACUUAUCAGAGGCUGGUAGAGAUGAUGUUCGAAGAUCAGCUGAGGAAGACGGUAGAAGUAUACAUUGAUGAUAUGUUAGUCAAGUCCAAAGAGCCGGAGGAUCAUCUAAAGGACCUGGGAGAAACCUUCCAGACACUGCGUCAGUUCAAUAUGAAGCUUAAUCCAGAAAAAUGCACUUUUGGAGUACAGUCAGGAAAGUUCCUUGGUUACAUUGUUACCAAGAGAGGAAUAGAGGUUAGUCAAGAGCAGAUCAGGGCACUCACGGACAUGGCGUCACCAAGAACACAGAAAGAAGUGCAAGUACUGGCUGGCCGAAUUACGGCAUUGGGAAGAUUCAUAUCAAGAUCCACAGAUAAAUGCAAGCCAAUUUUGAAGCUCUUGAGAAAGAAUUUAUCUUUUGCUUGGAAUGAUGAAUGUGAAGAAGCCUUCCAGAAGUUGAAAGAAUACUUGAGUAGACCACCAGUUCUGUCAAAGCCAUUUCCGGGGGAGACACUCUAUGUUUAUCUAGCAGUGUCGGACAUUGCAGUAAGUGCGGUCUUGACCAGAAGGGAGGCCUCAAAGGAGAGCCCAGUCUAUUUCCUCAGCAAGAAGAUGACUUCACCAGAGACAAGGUAUUCUAGAGUGAAAAAGUAUGCCCUCGCUUUACUAUUUGCAGCUCAAAGAUUAAGACCUUAUUUCGAAGCUUAUAGUCUGACAGUGGUUUCAAACCUCCCUCUCAAUCAAGUGAUGCCAAAAAUCGAGCGUUCUGGAAGAAUGGAAAAAUGGGCAGUUUCAUUGAGUAAAUAUCACAUUCAGUAUGAGCCCAAGAAGGCGGAAAAAUCACAAGUGCUGGCGGAUUUCUUGGCAGAUUUCCCAGUGGAGGAUGUAAUCAAGGGUGCAGAAAUGCAAGAGGAAGAGCAGCUAGAGUAUCUAGAAGUUCAAGAUACCGGGUGGAAAAGCGUCAAAGGAUGGAAGGUGUUCACCGAUGGGUCAGUAAAUAAAGGAAGAUCAGCAAUCGGGAUAGUAGUGGUAACACCAGAGGACACUAAGAUCGAGAUCGCAGAAAAAUUAGCCUUUCCGGCUACCAAUAAUGAGACAGAAUACGAGGCGGUGCUGAAAGGUUUGGAAGUAUUGCUGAAGUUAGAGGUAAAGGAGGUUACGGUUUUCACAGACUCGAAAUUGGUGGUGGAACAGUUCAAUGGAACAUAUAAAGCUCAGACUGGGAAGAUGAUGUUGUACUUGGAGGCAUUGAAGAGGAGUGUAGCAAAGUUCUCGAAAGUUGAUAUUGUACAUCUGUUUAGGGGAGAGAACCGGCAUGCUGAUGCAUUGGCUUACCUGGCAACGGCAACAGAAGAGAAUUCAACCAAGACUAUAACGUUCAUGCAAAGAUCUCAGCCAAUGAUAGAGGUGAAGGAAGUGACUGUCAACCUCAUUCAAAACUUGGGAGCAAGUUGGAUGGACCCAAUAAUAACCCACUUAAAAGGUGGUUCUCUUCCGAAAGACAAAGCAGAAGCUAGAUCGAUUGUGGAGCAAUCCAAAAGGUAUGCAAUGAUAGGGGAAGACCUGUAUAGGCGAUCACCAACUGGACCGUUAUUGAAGUGUGUACACCCAUCCCAAACAGAAGGAGUCAUGGCGGAAUGUCACAAUGGAAGUUGCGGCAGUCACUCACCGGGACGGGCCAUGGCACACAGGAUAAUGAUUCACGGGCAUUACUGGCCAAGUAUGUAUAAAGAUUGUUGCAACUAUGCUAAGAAAUGUCAUGGUUGUCAGAUUCAUGGGAGACUCAUACAUACCCCAGCUGAAAACCUUCACUUUAUAAGCAAUCCGUGGCCCUUUUCGAUGUGGGGAAUUGAUAUUGUGGGAAAACUGGAGAAGUCACAGGGAAGAGAAUAUUUAAUUGUGGCCACAGAUUACUUUACGAAGUGGAUUGAGGCAGAACCUUUACGAAGGAUCAGGGAGGUAGAUGUCAAAGAUUUUAUCUGGACCAACAUCAUCUGCAGGUUUGGCUUACCAAGGGCUAUAGUAGCAGAUAACGGUGCUCAAUUCCGUGGAGAGGAGUUGAAAAAGUUUCUGGCAAGUUAUAACAUAAAGCAACUCUUCGCAACACCAUUUCACCCACAAGGAAAUGGGCAGGCGGAAGCAUCAAACAAGGCCAUACUGGAGGUACUGAAAAAGAAGCUUGAGGAUAAAAAAGAAAAAUGGUAUGAGAAUCUUUGGGAAGUACUAUGGGCAUACCGGACGACUCCAAGAAGGUCCACAGGGGCAACUCCAUUCUCCCUCACUUAUGGGAUGGAAGCUGUGAUACCACAAGAAAUGUUGGUACAUACGGCUAGAAGAAUGGUGGUCGAUCUAGGGAAGAAUAAUGAGAUAAUAGAGAGAGAGCUGGUCUUAGCUGAGGAGGUCCGGGAGCGCGCCAAGCUCAGAUUGGAGGGCUAUCACCGCCAACUAGAGAGGACAUACAACAAAAGAGUCAAGCCAAGAAGCCUAGUUCCAGGGGAUCUCGUGUUAAGAAAACAGAAUCCGCCUCCAGCCAAACUAGAGCCAAACUGGGAAGGGCCUUUUGUGAUAGACAAGGCGGGAGCGAAUGGAGCAUACUACUUAACCUACCAAGACGGUACCCCUCUUGAUAAGCCAUGGAGUAUCAGCAAUCUAAAGAAAUACUAUGCCUAGAGGGCAAAGAUGUAUUAGAGCAACAACAGUAGACAGUAUGUACCUAGAUUUGUUUGAAUUUCAAUGAAAAUAUAAGAUUUUGUUGUUAUUGACUUAUCUAGUUAUAUAUAUAUAGCACUAUUGUCUGAGACCAGGCCAAAGGUCAGACAUAGAAGAAACCCAACUAAGGUUGGUGGGAAAUAACAUAAGUGUAGACUUGGCAGGGCAAGCCGUUAACUAAAUGUUAAAGUCUCUAUAUGAUUAUUUCUUCCCCAUUGAGUUUGAUUUAGACAAUACAGUGGGGUGCCUCUAAAAGAGAAGAGCAAUAGUGCUAGUGUGUUAACGGGGUUGCACUUGCUGAACCGUGACGACGGGAUCAGUAGAAGUAUAGCCUAAUGUUAGCACAUGAGAAACCAAUGCCAGAAGAUAACAAUAAUUGAUAGCAAUUAUAAAAGUUUGCAAUGUUGGAAGACUUUCGUCAAAAUUAAAAAUUAAUCAAAUUACAACUCAAGGCAAGGAGUCUCGGGUGGAAGCGCUAGGAGGCGUUAUCCGCAUUUUCUUGGCAGAAAGAAUAGCGGUUAAGUUUUCCUUCACUUGAGCCUUCACUUGCAUGGCAAGUUGCUCUUUGAAUUUCGCCUCCAUCUCCUCGUAUUUUGAAUUGUAAUCAGCCAGGAGAGUUUCUCUUUGCUCCCGUAGGUCGGCCAGAUACUGCUGAUAGUCAACAUCAUGAGCGGCUUCGAGUUCAUUUAUUUUCACUAAGCUGUCAGCCCAUUUCCCCUCCAACCUUGCUACCACGGUGGCAUGAGCAGCAUCAAGGGCAGCAAUACGCUCACGGUGCUCACCCUCAAGUGCAGCAAUGUGAUUACGGUGCUCACCCUCAAGUGCAGCAACGCGCUCACGGUGUUCACCCUCAAGCCUUUUCCGGUUCUUCUCGAUUUCAGCAUCACGAGACGCGGUUGUUUCUUUCAGUUGAAUCUUAAGUUGCUCGAUCUCGGCUUGAAGAGCCCAUUUCUCGCGAACUAGUCGAUUCUUAUCCACUGUAAUGUCGUGCUUCUCUUUUACAAGAUUUUCUUUUUCCAGCCUAGAAGCAUUUGAAAAAGACUUGACGACGAGACCGUUAACCUACAAUUCAAUAGAAAAGUUAUAGUCCAAAAAAAAAAAAAAAAAAAAAAAAAAAAAGAGAAGAGGGGAGACUUACGAGAGCUAGACCACGGAAAACUGUAUCUCGGUCCUCACCAAAGUUCAUCUGAUCAAUUUUAGCUUGAUCAGAAGGAAAAAUAGAAUUGUAGAUAGCGGCGAAAGCAGUUGCCCCAUUGUCAAAAGCCGAAGCUGAGGGAUCACGGGGAAGGGGAACGGCUGGAGUCUGGCUUGGAGACUGGGGGGAGGGAGAAUCAGCAAGUACUUUACCGCGAGAAGAGGAGCCAACCUUGUUAGGGUCAAAGGCUGGUACAGACUCUGAAGACGAAAAAGGACCUUGGGAAGUAACACCGGCAGGAGGUGUAGAAGUCUUGUCAGCAGUUGGUGCCGGAUUAAUCUCAGCAUCAAGGGUGGGAGAGAAUUGCUGGCCAUCUGCGGCUUGGUCACCUGAUCCAGAUGAAGAAUAAUUAAGAGUACGAUGGCGGGUAUACCUAGGUGCUUCACGAAUAGGUGCAACAAGUGUAGCAACAUCAAAAAUUUCGUGAUCAACAGGAAGUGGUGGAGGCAUCGCACCAAUAAUAGGGGGCUCAUUUGGAUCAAGGAGAGCCAUGGAAAAUUCCUUAAGGGGAGAAGAUGAAGGAUGAGAAGUUGAACCUGGUUGGGCGAGAUUGUCCAUGCCGGUGUCUUCAAAUAGGAGACCACCAUCAAACCCAAGUUCAUCAAGAUUAAAGGAAACCUUGAUUCCACUAAAGUUUGGUUGUCUGGGUUCUUCCAGAGAGUCGCUGGAGGAAGAAGAAGGGGAUCCCGGUAGUUGAGAAGGAGCUUCUGCCAUUUUGGCCCUUUUCACUCUAGGAAUGGAAGGACCGUGUUGCUUUGAACGCGCCAGGUGAACUUCGGGAGAUUCCGGCAAUGUCUCUGGUUCACCUUGGACUGCCUGAAAAUCAGAACUUUCAGUUGAAGAAGAAGAAAGAUCACGACUACAAUUCCUGACAAUCUUUUGAACUCGAAGAGCAGAUAAGAAAGGGGGAAGUCGGGCAGUUACUCUUUUUUGCUUCUUCUUCUUGGAUGGCGCUGAAACUGCGGAAGGAGGUUCACGGGUUCUCUUUUUAGUUAGGAUCGUCUGAAGAGGGAUAUUAUCUCCACCGUCAUCAGAUUCUCUCUCCAACUCAGUAGCGGCAGCAGCAGAAGCUUUACCCUUCCUUUGUGUUGAUCGGGAAGUAGGAGGAAUAGCAGAAGACCUGCCCUUUUUAUCCCUGAGAUAAUCUUUGUGGCAGCAGACGGGUAAGACGUAUUCCCCUAGAUCAAGAUCCUUAACGAUCGGGGUACCGUCUUUCUUUGAGGAAGUAAGCUCACGAAUGGCGGAAUAAGCGUCAGCUCCAGAUCCUAUCAAAGGUUCCCAAGGGGCGUCUUUGCGGGGUCUUAAGGCUUUGCCGUCACCGCGAACCUCUGGGAUAGAAAACAGAUAAAAGAGUUAGACAGGCACUAUCAAAAGGAUUUUCAUCCUAGGAAUGUUAAUAUAUGAACAAAGUAGAAAAAGUGAGGAAAAAACCUCCUAGAUUAAACCGCCAGUAUUUUAAAGGGUUAGAAAUGCCAGGUCCUUUUCCCCCGAAGUUACCAAAGACAAUCAUAGGAAAGUCAGGCCAUUCCUUGUCACUUUCCGGCAAUUUUUCAAUAAUAGACCGCCUACCGGGGCGUUUGACGAAAUAGUAAUAAGGUUGACCACAUUUUUCUUCGCAAACCCGAAGAUAGUAACAUUGACGUAUAUCAGCAAGGGAAACGGUAGUUCCUUCAUUGUUUAGUUGGUCUAGGGCCCGCAAGAUACGCCAAAAGUUACCAAUACAUUGUCCAGGGGCGACUUGGUAAAAAUUAAGUACAUCACGGACUAAAUCAGAAAAAGGAAACGGGCAACCAAAAGCUAUUUGGUGGGCUGUCACCAUAAUAGCAUCUUGGCGGCUAAAUUCGUGAUGUGCAAAGCGUAGGGCAUGUUUGUAGUUGAAAAUUUUUACAUCUUCAGGAAUGUCGUAUAGUUCACAGAGUAGAUCUAAAUCAGGUCUAUAAGGGUAGGUACUGGGCACAUACGAAUCAAGGUAGUAACUGGAAGGGGAAGGGUGAACACCGCCAUCACCUUGACCUCCUUCAACUGUCUUCCUCGAAGAAUCUUUCUUUUUCUGAUUUUGAUAAGAAGCCAUUUAUGUAUAGAGAAAGGCUCACCAAAAUCGUAGAGAAAGAAAGAUUAGGGGCGUAUACAGGAUGACUCCAAGAGGAGGAAAGGAGAGAAGAAAAAUAAUUUGGAAAUUUACGGCAAUCGAAGUACAGAGUAUAUAGCGAGAAGAAGAAAAAUGAAAACCUAGAUCUAAUAAUGGCUAAAAUUAAAAUCAAGAAUAAGGAGAAGAGAAUAACCUGAAUUAGUCGACGGAGGAAGAAAUAAAGACGAGAAUCGAACUUUCAGGGGACCGGACGGUGCGUGAUUUCGUAGAGAAGAUGAAGACUGAAGAGAAAGAUAAACAGAGGAGGAGAAUGAAGAAGAUGAAAGGCAAAUGGAAGAAUUGGGUUAAAGGUUGUAAAUUUAUAUGAGGAUAAUCCCAGGGGUAUUACGGGAAGAAGUAAAAUAGUGACGAGACAGUAGCAUUGGGAAGCGAAAGGACAGCAGUUAAAAUCAUAAGUGCGUCUGGGUAAGAGCAAAAGAGGCACGCGUAGGAGGUUCGGGACUCGAGAGCAUGCGCAAUUAAUGAAUAGCUGGAGAGAUAGGGAUAAGGCAGAGCCUAAGGCACGUGAGGAGCAGGUGAUAGAUUAAGUAAUGAAAAGAACUUAUGACAGUUUUUCCGUCAUCAUAAGGAGUUUACAUUUAGGCGGAGAAAAAGCCUUUGAGCCGCCAUCUAAGAAAUAUAGAUGACGGUCAAAGGAGGGGCGAUGUAAGUACCAAACCAUGCUAGGUGGAGUAUUGAGGACACAGGAGCUAGAUAAGGAGAGCAAACUGGGAAGUACCCAAUCGGAGUUCAGAACAUUCUAGAGUAUCACGGAUAAAGCACGUGAUGUCUGGCUGUAAAGCAUUCACUGUAUAGUAUGUGAUGGAGAAUGAAACACGUAGGAGAUAAUAGAACCAUAGGAUGCAAAGGAGGAUCCAACGGUUCAAGGAAGGCGGUGAAUAUUGCUAUAAAAGGAUCACGUUAGGGUUCGCUAAAAGGUAACUGUUCAUUCUUUGCUAAAAACCUAUUCUCUAAACCUAGCCGCUUACUGACUUGAUCGUUGGAGCUUUAUCCACCGGUCAUUGUCCGGUGGUCAUUGCAGGUACUACCGUUGAAGCAGUUGAAGGACCCAGCUGAGCUCAUCAAGGAAAGUGGGCUUACAGAUAUAAUGAGAAAAGUGGAGAGGAUUUAGUUUUACUUACAAGUUACUCUGAAUGCUUCAAGAAAAUUCAAGUACACAAUUUGGCUUUCGAGCAAGCAGUUGUAAUUGUUUAAUCUCUCUUUCUGGCAGUUCUCCAGGAUAUAGCUUAGAGUUAAAAUAAACCCUUGUUGUUAGUUUGAUAGUCAGUUUAUCCAAUACUCUUGCACUUUUUAUCAAAAAUUUAACAAACCACAUCUUCUCCGCUGUCCAUCUAAAAUGCUGGAUCUCAACUAACUUCAAGUGUGACAAGAAACAUUUUGGAGUUGUUCCCAUUAUUUGAACUUAUCCUUUAAAUUGGAUCGAACUAAGUCCCUAUAUAGGAAACAUAAUUAGAAGCUUUAAAAUGAAACUGACAUGAAAAAGUUUCUUUUCAAAGCCGAAAAGAACACAAAGGAAAAUUAUGGACUUACAUCGGGAACGGAAAUAGAUUCGAUAUUAGGCAUGUUACAGAGUAAAUCUAUGAAUGUUCUACCAUUUGCCUCCGUUUUGUACCACACAGUCAGAUGGAUCAAGCGGGAAAGUGCAAGUAAAUGGAUUGAGUGGUUCGGACAGGCGAGGGCCUAGAUAUAUCAAAUAGUACUUCUGAUAAAAAAGGUAACCCCUGAACUUCAACGAUACAAAAGUACAAGACUCUGCAUAAAUCCUUAUCGCACAAGAAUUUAAAACAUCAGUCCCCCCAUCCCCUAUUUUUAGCAGAAAUGGUAACACUCUUGAUCUUUGACCAUACACAGUAAUCUAGGAAAAAUUCAUCUAGGAUAGACAACUUAAAGAAAUUUCCUGUAUUGAUUGAUCUCCAAAAAAUGCAAUCUAAGAUGCAGGACCUUAAGGCUUGAAAAACAAACCAAAGCGGGUAUCUUCAUCGAGACACUCAUUUCAAUUUCAAUAUCCUCAAUGAUUUAUAAGUAAAAUGCAAUCUGAAAACCGAAAGGGACAUUCCUUAAAAAAUUGAGAUAUUUAGUUCUUGAACUUUACGCCUCAUUGCCUCAUAGAGAUCCAUUCAUUGAAGUGAGUUGCAUCACACUCCUUACAUUUGAGGUUGCACCUAGCAUAUAUUUGAAAUAUCAUUGCAACGAAGCACUUUGUCUACAAACUCACUAAAGAUUCCCUUUGUUUUCCUAUAAUUUGGACUCUUGCUCGAGUCGUUAUACAAAUGUUCAUCACAAAAAUCAAGAUUGUGGAUGAACUUCCAAAAGGCCAUUCCAUCUUGUUGAUAAUACACUAGUACCCAGUGGCGGCCCUGAGGGCAUGCCCAAGAAGCUUUUGAUUGGGGCCAACCAAUUUUUAAAGAAAAAGUGCACUAAAUCUUUACUCAACAUGUAUAUAAUUAUUUAUAGACCACAAUAUUGUCAUAAUUAAUUUGGUAGAUUUACUGGUAGCAACACUAUACCCUACUAAAAAUGCCCUAAGACCAAUUCUUAAGUACUAUUUUUUUAAGAAUUUUUUUUUUCCACAAAAAUUAUUUUCUUAUGUGUUUAGAAGUAGGGGUGUUAAACGAGGCGAACGAGCCAAGCUUUGGUAUGUUCAAACUUGAGCCAAGCUUUUAACAAGCCGAGCCCAAGCUUUUCGGUUCGUUUAACGACCUUAUUUAAAAGAAAUGUAGCUACACAUGUGGGUCAUCUAUGUUUAAAUUUGAAUUGGCCACCUAAAACUCAGGGCCGGCCCUGCUAGUACCCAACAACAUAUUUAGUAGGAAGAAAGGAGAGGAUGUAAUGCAGAAUCCAGAAUGUGUUCAGGUAAAUUGUUAAUUCUAUCGAUCUCACCAUUGCACUGUUGUUUAGAUAGUUUUUGCUUUUUAGAAUUUUUUGCAGAAGCACUUGUUUCCAUGACUAAGGUUCCAACCAGAAGCUAUACUGGAAUAUCUAAGAACAGACGAACUUAUGAUUGAUGAACAAUAGUGUAUGCUUAAUGCAUAAAAGGAAAAGGCACAAACAUUGCAGAUAUCUCUCUGUUUUACUGAUCGAAUCAACUCACUCUCUUGACAGCACUAGUAGCACACGCGAAAAAGUCGGUCGAUCUCUUUUGGUCCUCUUUGGCUGUGUCCAAGUGAAACUCAAGAAUGAAGCAGAUAGGUUCCAGUCGAAGGCAUUCAGCGAUGGGAUUGAGAAGAUAUGGAAGAAGAUUCAGUGAUCCCAGCAGGGUCAAUCUCAUAGGGGAAGUCAACUAGUGCGGGAUAUAAGAAAAUAAUUAUAAAAUAAGAUGACACCUCAAAAAGGAAGAAUUACAUUAUUUUAGUAAGGAAAAUAGGCAUUACUUUCUAAAUAAAACAUUGCGUUGUAACUAUGAGAGAGUCUUUUCUCUCUCUCUUCUUUUAAGUUUUCUCUAUCUGAAUGUCGAAGACAUAUUACUUAUUUAUCAAGAAUGUUUCUAAAUUGAUAUGUACAAUUAUUAUAUAUUUGCCAAGAUGUUCUACAUUUCUAAGAUUUCCAUAUUACUGAAUAAAUAAUCAAAUGUUAGGUUGAACUCCAAGUUAAUUAAUUAAUUCCACAAUGUAGAACAAGAUAAUUAUAUUUUAAAUAAAUAAAUAAAUGUAGCAAACAAAAAUAAUCAAGCUGUUUUCCUUUUAAUAGCAACAAAACUGUAUCAACGAACCAUCUUUAGAGUUAGAGUAUCAAUGAACAAGGUAAUCUAAAAUUAUCAUUUCAUAUAUAAAUUGAAUUAUCAAUUAGGGUUAGAGUUCAUUAUUAGUGGCAAAAAAAGGUUAGAGUUCAUUAAACUUUAGAACAUUUCGUCAUGUGAUGUGAUAUAUUGGUUUCAAGAGUUAUCUACAAAUCCUCCAUUCGUUAAUAUUGUAGAUGAUAUACAGUAGAACCUCUUUAAAUUAAUACUCGAUUCGUUAAUCUCUCUAAGUUAAUGAAAUUCUCUAGUCCCGAUUUACAUCGUAAGUAGCUAAAUCAACACUCGGUAAGUUAAUAAAUUUUAAUAAAAUUGCAUAGGUCCGAUGCUAUUAAUUUAAAGAGGCUCUACUGUAUAAUUCAAUCUAUCUCACUUAUUGAGAAAAGUGAAAACAUUGGAGGUAUGAAGAAGUAAAGUGAAGAACUACAGUAAAAUUAAUAAUAAUGAAUAAUCUCAGCCCUUGUAGAAAUUAAAGCAACUUUAGGUUAGCUGUAGACAAGAUAGAUAUGGACGAAGUGAUUCUCAUUAUUCACUUCUUUGUUCUCUAUACAUAGCUUAGCCAAACAUAACAUGUACAUAGGAAAAAGAGGUGUAUUCACUUGUUAUUUCUCUAAGUACCACAUACAGUAUAUAUAUAGGCAUCACAAAGUCAAUCACUUGUGCUUAGCUAACAUAGGUGAGUGCCACCUAGCAUCCUUUUCUGACACAUCAAUUUGAUGACUAAUCAAGUAUCACUGAUGGUCUACCUAAUCACCUGGAUUAAGAGUGUGGGCUUGGAUUUGGACAUCCACUAUUUACAACACUCCCCCUUGGAUGUACAAUAUCCACCAUAUCAAGAUAUUGCCUCAUAAAACCUUGCUAGGAAAAUCCAGUGGGAAAAAACCAUGGCAAAGGAAAAAAAGUACAAUAAUUGAUUUCUUGAUUGGUGUUGGAUGCACUAUAUACUGCCUCGUUAAAACCUUGCUACGAAAACCCAGUGGAAAAAACCGUAGCUAAGGAAAAAUAGUACAGUGCGCUUAAUGUCCUGGUGGCUCCCCCUGAAGACAACUCCCCCUGAUGAAGAUUAGACUAAGCUCGACUUUCGGCGAAUCCCAAUGUCAUAUGCCAGUUUCUUAAAAGUUGAUGGAGGUAGUGACUUAGUGAACAAAUCAAAGAGAUUCUCAUCAGACCAUAUCUUCUGGACAUUGAUCUCAUUACUCUUCUAUAGUUCAUGAGAGAAAAAGAAUUUUGGAGAAAUAUGUUUUGUUCUAUCACUUCUGAUGUAGCCUUCCCUGAUUUGAUCAGUAGAUGCAGCAUUGGUUGUGGUUGAUGAUACAUCAUAUCUAAACAACAUGCGGGCUCCCCUCAGUUACAGAAACACUAACAGUGAUUUGUUUGGAAGAUCACCAAGAAAUUGUUGUACCACCAUAAGUAAAUACAUACCCGGUUUGCGAUCUUUCUUUGUAUGGGUCAGAUCUAUAUCCUGCAUCUGCAUACCCCUUUAGUUAGGAGCCAUUUGGUGGUUCUCUUGAAUAUUAUAAACCCAUAUCAGCCUCGAAAGUAACGCAUAAUCUCUUUUAAGCCAGUCCAAUGGCGUUGGGUUGGAGCUGACCUAAACCUGGCUAACAAAUUCACUGCAAAUGAAAUGUCAGGUCUAGUACAUUGGACUAAAUAUAAAAGAGCACCCUUAACACUCAAGUAUGGUACUUAAGGAGUAAGUAAAGAUUCGUUCUCCUCUUUAGGACGAAAUGGGUCUACCUUCACAUCAAGUGACCUUACGACCAUUGGAGUGCAAUUUGGCAACAUUUGUCCAUGUUAAAACGAUUUAAAACUUUUUUAGUAUACGUUGACUGAUGGACAAAUAUUCCAUGUGUUGUAUGUUCGAUCUGCAGGUCGAGACAAUACUUUGUUUUCUUGAGAUCUUUCAUCUCGAACUCAUUCUUUAAAUAGUUUGCAGCUUUGGCAAUCUCUUCAGGAGAUCCAAUUUUAUUUAUGUCAUCUCUUAAUCUUAAUAGAGUACAUAUGACAUGGUUUUGCUUCAGGCAGUUAGUUUGCAUCUUUAGCAAUCUCUUCAUGAGAUCUAAUUCUAUUUAUGUCAUCUCUUAAUCUUAAUACAUAUGACGUGGUUUUGUUUUAGGCAAUUUUUAUCCUUCAGGGACUUUCAUAUAAAUAUCAGUAUUUAACAUUUCAUAAAGAUACGCAGUAACCACGUUCAUGAGAUGCAUGUCGAGUCUUUUAAAGACCGCCAGACUAAUUAAGAAUCGAAACGUAAUGACAUCCAUCACAAGAAAAUAUGUCUCUUCAUAAUCAAUCCCGGGUUUUUGCGAGAAAUCUUGUGCCACGAGACGAGCUUUAUACCUCACAAUCUCAUUUUUCUCAUUGUGUUUCCUUAUAAAUGCCCAUUUGUAACCUACAAGGUUAACAUUCUUGGGGGUUAGGAAACACAUUUGUUUUGCAAGAGAAUCUAAUUUUGUUUGAAUUGCAUCCUUCCAUUUUGGCCAAUCAUGUCGUUGUCGACUAGGGCUGGCAAUGGUACGGGUUAGACCCGAAACCCGGUCCGAUCCGUACCGAUAAGAAUAGGUUUGGUAUUGCAUUUUUAUGUAUUGGUACGGGUCUGGUUCUUCAAAUUAGGACCCGAUUGUUAUCGGAUCGGGUUUGGAAUUAGUAGAUACCGAACCGAUAUGGACCCGAUAUAAAUUAUUUUGAGGUUUUGAAUAUUUUAGAUUCACUACCAUUAUUAACAUAUCAUAAAAAUCCUAAAUUCUAGAAAUUUGAUUAUUGUAAAUAAAUGUUUUAAUACUAAUUACCUUAUAAUUAUAUGCAAUUACAUUAAAAACAUAGAAAUAAAUAAAAUCAUAUACCAUAUUUGUAUACUUGAUUAUAUAUAUUUACUAAAUAUAUCUAUCUAGAUUCUUAAAAAGUAACUCAUUUUUUCUAAAUUUGUAUACAUGACAUAUCAAUUUAUGGUCAAAAUACCCGAAUCCAACUCGGAUCCGAUCCAAUAAGAUUUGGUAUGGGUAUGGUUCCUUACUUUCGGACCCGAUAGGGUCUGGUUCCGGGUCCAGGAUUAUUAGUUUUCUUAUUGGUUCGGGUAUGGUAUUUCUAAUAUCCGGUCUGAAUCGGUCCAUUGCCAGCCCUAUUAUCGACAUUCCUCAACAGUAUGUGUAUCAAGACCAUCAUCAUCUGCUGCAAUCUCAGCAGCUACGGCAAAGGAGAAUACGUCAUCGAUGACAAUUUUAUUUCUAUUCCACAACUCUCUUGUGUAUGCAUAAACUACAGAAAUUUCAUCAUUUUCAGGUACCUGAGCCAUAUCUGGGGCUUGUGUUAGUUCUGGGACAACCACUUUGGGGGCUUGUGUCAUUUCAGGGGUUUAUGUCACUUCAGGGACGACCACUUAGGAGCUUAUUUCGCUUCAGGGAUGGCCACUUCGGGGGAUUGUGUCACUCUAGGGACACAUUCCUCUUCAAGAGGUUUUUGUUUAGAGAGAGUGUGUUUUCCUUGCCUUAUAGCCUCUUUAGGAGCGCUAUUUACUGGAGGUUUUGUUUGACUUUUCCUCUUCCAGGGAUUUGAGUCCUUUGACCCAAUAGGUCGUCCACGCUUCUGGCGUACUUUAGACGAUUUCAUUUGCUGCCACAUUUGUGGGAUUUCCUUCAGGGACAUGUCAUCCUUCAGGGACAAAUCGUCCUUCUGGGACUUUAAUUCUCGCAGGCGCAUUAACAACUGCUAUAUUUUAUCUUAUCACUCUUGCAAGUCAAUUUAGGCGCUUCUUCAGGAAGCCACAAAUAUUUACACCGUUCUACAGUAACGGUACUUCUUCAGGAAGUGCUUCUUCAGGAAAUCGUAAAUAUUCACGCUGUUCUUCAGGAACAGAUGUAUUUUCUCCCCCUAACGGCGGGAAAACUGUCUCAUCAACGUGACAAUCUGCAAAUCUAGCGAUACGAACAUCAUAUGUCAAUGGUUCAAGAUAUCUAACAAUAGUUAGAGAAUCAAAACCAACCCAAAAAAUUCUAGACUACGAGACAUAUAACUUUACUAUCCGCAAGAUGAUUAUACAUGCUAUAUGCAUAUCCCUUCACAAUACAAGGAAAAUAUUUAAGUAUACUAUUAGAAACGAAUUUCAAAUAGUAAAACAAUGUAUAUGAGGAUUAUUUGACCAAAUAAAGUUAGAACUUCCGGUUCUUAAUUAAUGGAUUAAAACUUCAAGUCUAAUCAAAGAUGUGAGACUUCAGGCUUGAUCACUAACAAAUAAAAACUUUAGAUUCUUGGUCAAAAUCAAAUAUUUGAAACUUCCGGCUCACUGAGGAUUUUCUCGUUUUAUAAAGACUUCAGGCGUCAACAUCAUUUAUAAAAUAUGAUCAUUAGACUUCGAGUCUUGAUCUAAUCAUACAUAACUUCAAGUUCUUGGAGCUUUAAGCCCAAAUAAAAAUUAAAUUUGAUGUUGAGCUUCUGGUUCAUUAUGGAACACAUCAAUAUCACUAUGAAAUAAAUGGUUAGAACCAAUAAUUUCAAUUUAAAAAAUCAAAUACUUACUCAAUACUUACACCGGUAGUAGUGUAGUAGUUUAAUAUUGUAGUUCUUGUCUAUGUACUUCUUGAACAAUAGAGCAAUCUCGUGCUGAUAACGUCGUAAAAAUUAAAGCAACUUCAGGUUAGCUAGUUGUAGACAAGAUAGAUAUGGACGGAGUGAUUCUCAUUAUUCACUUCUUUGUUCUCUGUACAUAGCUUAGCCAAACAUAACAUGUACAUAGGAAAGAGAGGUGUAUUCACUUGUUAUUUCUCUAAGUACCACAUGCAGUAUAUAUAUCUAUAUAAUAUUACAAGGCGGUCUCAUAAACACAGCCGUUAGAUGCCUAUUAGGACAACCACAACCAUUGGAUGUAGAAUAAUUUAUAUAAUCGAUGUAAUAAGUUGUAAUAAUAGCCUUAGAUGUCCAAAAUUCGAUCUUAACCAUUAGUUGUCUAUUGAGACAAUCGUAGCCAUAUGAUUAAGAGUUUUAAUUGCUAUCACAUUAAAUUUCAGAAAUAUAACCUAUAGAUUAAUUAAUAAUACUAAAUAACCAAUAAUUAUGAGACAUGGGCAAUUAAAAUUAUUGUAAAUUAAUUAAUAAUACUAAAUAACCAAUAUUUAUGAGACAUGGACAAUUAAAAUCAUUGUAAAUUUAUUUUUAAAAUAAUAAUAAAAAUAUUGAAACCAAUGAAUCUUUGGUGUAUAAGGAUUUAGAUGUUCAAAAUUCGAUCUUAACCGUUAGUUGUCUAUUGAGAGAAUCAUAGCCAUAGGAUUAAGAGUCUUAAUUGCUAACACAUUAUCUUGUGGAUUAAUUAAGGCUCCAGAUUUUGCCAAAGAAAAAAAUGUUUUUGCCAAUGAUUAAUUCUUGGUAUUACAUAAUUGCCCUCAAUUAGUUUAAUUUAAAAUUUAACUAUUUAGUAUUCACAAAAUCUUGGAGAAAUCUAUUAAUGCUUUGCCCAUAUAAGGAUCAUACAGAAAUUUUGUAAUUAAAUUUUUUUAUUUUAAAUCCCCAAUUUUGAAUUUAUAUUUAUUUAAAAUACUUAAAAAAUAGUUUUUUAUGUAAAAGUUUAAUAAAUAGAAAAUGAAAAAGAUUCACUUUCAUUAUUGAUUGGUUUAAUCAAAAUUUUGAUAUGUAAUUAGAAAAGAAGAAUCAAACAAUUUUAGUGAAUCAAGAGAUUUGAUUUAACAGAUAUUUUGAUUUUUAAGAAUCUAAAUUCUAAAAAAAUGAAAAGUGGUUUUUGAACAACAAUUGUCAUAUUUAUGGUAAAACAAUUGAGGGUAAUUGUGUCAUAUCAAAAAGUUAUCAUUGGCAAGAUUAAUUUAAUUGAACCAUUAAAUUGCAAAUGUUUACUUACAUAUUAGCAAGAUUAAUUUAAUUAAAAUUUUGUAAUUAAAUUUUUUAUUUUAAAUCUCUAAUUUUGGAUUUAUAUUUAUUCAAAAUACUUAAAAAAUAGUUUUUGAUGUAAAAGUUUAAUAAAUAGAAAAUGAAAAAAGAUUCACUUUCAUUAUUGAUUGGUUUAAUCAAAAUUUUGAUAUGUAAUUGGGAAGAGAAGAAUCAAACAAUUUUAGUGAAUCAAGAGAUUUGAUUUAACAGAUAUUUUGAUUUUUAAGAAUUUAAAUUCUAAAAUAUGAAAAAUAGUUUUUGAACAACAAUUGUCAUAUUUAUGGUAAAACAAUUGAGGGCAAUUGUGUCAUAUUAAAAAGAUAUUAUUGGUAAAAUUAAUUUAAUUGAACUCACUAAAUUGAAAAUGCUUACUUACAAUGACAACUAAAUACUCGAAAACUAUUGUUGUAGGUUAUUUAAACUUUCUUACAAUAAUGGUGUUGACUAAACAAGAUAAAAUCCAACAAUAUCUAGAUGCAGGGUAUAAUGGACCACUGGAAGCAGCUAUGCGCUUAUUGGAAAUAUACUACCUAUAGAGAGACCGAAAGUGCAACGAUUACACCUCCAUCUUAUUGGAAUGCACCGUCUUCUUUUUAAUCCUAAUGAAUCAAAGAAAGCUAUUUUUAAAAGGGCUCAAAAUAAGAAAUCUACUCUAACUGCCUUUUGUUUAUUGUUGUGAUGCAGAUGCUUAUUCAAGGGAACUAACAUAUCAAGAGUUCUCUCAACAUUAUGUCUAGAACAAUGAAGAUUCUAAGUGGACAAGAAAAAAAUAUAGAUUUGCCAUUAGUAGAAUGUAUUUUACAAGUCCUAAUUUAAGUGAAAAAUUCUAUUUGUGGUUGUUGGUUACGAUUGUUAAAAGGUCUUGCACUUUUAAUGAUCUUAAAAUAUAUGACAAUUAUUUAUUUAAUACGUUUAAAAAAGCAUGUGUUGCACGUGGUCUGUUUGAGGAUGAUCAAGGAUACGUAGAAUGUUUAGAAGAGAUUACUCUUAUGGAAAUGUCACACGUUCAAAUUUUUUCCCGAUUGCAGGAAAAUAACACAAGCAUUAAAGCUUAGGAUUGCAUAAGGAGGGUAUGAGAUCCAAGUCUCUACUGAGUACAUUAUGCCACUAUUUUCCAUUCCUCCUAUAGUGGUUGGUAGUGAGACCACUGCUAAACUCUUGGUCACAAAAAUUGGUUGUGAAUGCAGUUGGAGUUGUUCUAUAUUAUCUUUUAGUAAUGUUUGAAUGUUUGUCACAUCUAUGUCUACUGUUUUGGUAAAUAAAUACUCAAUAUAUUUCAAUUAAUUAAGGGAAAGAUACUAUCACUACAAAAGAAUUUAGUUAUUCUAACUGGUAGUAGUUUUCCAUGUUUUGCACUGUACGUAAUUCAAACAAUGGGUCUUGGGAGAGAAAAUGACAACUGUAAUCAAUUUCAAAGUAUUAUGAUUUGGAAAGAGAUAUUUAAAACGUUUACUUAAAUGCUUACACACCAUUCUCUACCCCUCCAUAUGUUCUUCUAUGUGUUAAGAACUCAUACCAAAAAAAUAAAAAUAAAAAAAUACACAACUAAAAUGGAUGCUACCUAUAACUCUUAAAAGAAAGAAAAUGGCUAGAGAAAAAUUUUCAUAUGUUUAAUAUUUGUCUGCAAUCAAAGAUGGAGUGAAAUAAAUACAUAUUUGAAGCAAUUGAAUGAUAUUGGUAAAGUUCAAUAUAUAUGUAAUAUAUGCAACUAUUAUAUCCAAAAGCUCAUUAGGAUAAAAACUAAAGCCAAACGUGUUAUUGUUAUUCUUGAUCAAAGUAAAAGAUAUAUCAACUACAAUAAACACAAAAAUAAAUUAGUUGGAUGCAACAAAUAAAAAAUAUUAAAUCAAAAUUUAAGAUAAAUAUUUAAUAAAAAUUAUAGAAAAAAAAAUUAAAAUAAUAAUAAUUAAAAUAAUCGUGCCUUAGGCACAAGUUAUAACUAGUAAUACAUAUAUAUAUAUAAAUAAUAAUCUACAAAGGGUGCAUAAUUUGACUAGGACUAAUUUAUAUGACUAGGAUUAAUUUCUAUGACUGGGAUUAAUAUUUAGUAUGAUUAGGACUAAUCUACAAAGGGUGCAUAAUUUGACUAGGACUAAUUUAUAUGACUAGGAUUAAUUUCUAUGACUGGGAUUAAUAUUUAGUAUGAUUAGGACUAAUAUCUAUGAUUAAGUCUGAUUAGGACUAAUACACCCAAAACCUUAAUCGUCAAGUCAGUUUGCUAAACCUUAAUCUCUUCCAUCAUCAUCAUCGUCCUCUUUUAACCAGAAGAAAAAACUAAAACAAAAGUGAAAACGAUCUGCAAAUCCCUACUCACACAAUUGAGCACUAAAUAAGGAUUUGAGGGAUUUUGCUUCCUUACAACACCCUCGAAUUGAGUUUGCUUUGCUUCCUUUAUAAUACUCAAAUCACCCAAAACCGAGCUUGACUUAUUAUGGAGUCUGUUUUGUUUGUAGGAAAUUCGUUAGUUAUGAUUUUUAGGUGGUUCUAAAUUCUGCUGAAUUUUUUUUGAAUUUUUCUGUUUGGAUUUUGAAUUUUUAAUCGUCCAACAGCAUCAAGUUCUUCUUAAUCUGUUUGAAUUCAAGCCCAACAACAUCAAGUUCUUAUUUGGACAAUUGUUCUUAUUUUGCAGUCAAUUCAAUUCUAUAUAAACUGAACUAUUAGUUUUGAUCCUGUAUUACAAUCACAAUUAUUGACUGUAAAUAAUGUGAAUAAGUUGCAGAAUACUUGAAUGAGGAUUAAUUUUAAUACUGUAAAACAAUUCAAUUCUUUUAGGCACAUUGAGACCAAGGACGAAAAACAAAGUUAAUGAAUGAUGGAGUAAUUUAUGUAGUGUAGCUAGGUAGCUUGGGUUAGGAGACAUGUCUGUCCCUCUCUUCAAGUACUCCUGCAUUUGCACUGCAGUUAAAUUAUGCCCGUCCAUCGCAAUGAAUUCUUCAGCUGUCAUCCCAAUCUUAUUACUUUUAAAGUUUCAAUGUCUUAGGAACAUCUCAUGACAUUAUAGCAUAAUGAAACUUUAAUAGUUAUCACUAAAAUACACUCCAAAUUUUGUGUCUAGAGUUGCUUUGCUGCAUCUCAAACUAAUAUGCUAUGCUGUCAUAUCAGUUAUUCGUGUUCAUGUAUUCAGCAUUGGAUGUCUUACAGUGAUCUUCAUUCAUUAAGCAAAACUAAAAAUUCAUCGUAUUAGUAACCAAAAUCAUGUCGACACCUUCUUAGCGAAAUCACUUAUAUAGAAAACUAGAACUAAUGUUAUGGUAUUAUUAGGAGCCCCAAGGAAAAUGAUGUAGUCUGAAACCAUUUGAAUGGGGGAGUGUAUAGAGAGAGCUUUGUCAGAUUUGUACUACCUCUUCCUUGGUAGUAUACUAGCCAUAGCUUUCCUGAUUUUGUUUUCUCCUUAUUUUCCGGCCUCCAUGUGAAAUGUGCAUUGCCUAAUAACAAUGAUGCUUUCUUAAAACAAUAAUAUAAGCUGACACGGGUAUAGGUUUCUUCUACAGACAAACUGAAGUGAUGAGGGAAUUUUAAGUUAAUUAAAUGAGUACGGGACUAGAAACUAAUCUAAUGUAUUUUUAAGAAAAAACAAUGAUGUAUGAAAAAUUAAAAAUUAAUAAAUUAGAAUUAAAUAAUAUCAAGCUAAAUUAAUCAAAAAGACAAAGGAAAGUUUGCUGAAAGUGUAUCUAGAGCCGGUCAUAAUCUGAAGAGGGUGGACUUCGACUCUGACGUUAGCCUUACGUCGGUGACCCAAAAUAUAAUAGCAGACAAGUUUUGAAAACCAGAAGAACAAGCUAAAAUCCAGUGUAGACAAUAAUUAACACCUCACAAUGAAUUUUGUAAGAAAUAUUCAAUUUGAUUAAGUACUUUAACUAAUAUGGCAUAUGCUUGGAAUUUAAAUUUUAAACAAUGUCAAAUGGAGCCUAAAAAGUAAAUGGGAUUUGGAUUUAUACAUAUUGUCUCCUUCAUUCCUUCGAAUGUUUUCGUAGUUGAGUAUCCUUCUAGAUACUAUGUUGAGGUUAAUACCUUUAUUUUCACUUUUUAGCAUACAAUUUUGAUCUAUAUUAUCAUACAAACACAAAAAAAUUGUUUUUUCGUUUAAUGUUAGCAGUUUUGUUUUGUUUCCCUGUUUUACUAACUAAGAAAGUUUUAUUUCAACUACUGUUGAAAUCCUAAAACGUUAGCUUGACACUUUCCCCAUUGUUUUGCCCUUCCCAGUAUUCCACUUAUAAUGCUCCCCCGAGCUGACUUCUUUUAUAUCUACAUUGUCUGACAGAGAAAGAACAAUGGGUACAAAAGCCUUCUUCUGAUGAGUCUGUCAUGUGUAACAACUCCAUCCAGAAAUGCCUAGGCUGAUUUGAUAUUGAAGUUUCCACCUAGACUAAGAGCCGAUAUGAUUUUAAAGAUUUAAGUUUGGAUUAUACAUGUUAAGAUCUAAUUAUAGAGUACUUGAGGAGCUGGUGAUAGUUCAUUGUAGUUGUAGGCAUUCUAGAACUUUGUUGGCUAAGUGCAUAGCACAAAAUAUCGCGACAAUUAUAGUGUGACAAGUUUGACCAUUUUGAGAAACUACAAUUUUGUUUAGAAAGAACUUAGUCAAUAUUACUUGAAUGGGAACAAAAUUAGCCCAUUUUAAUUUAGGUACUUAGAAACACUGAAACAGAACACAAACUUGACAAAUUGAUGCAUUAGCUUGAUUUUUCUGGAAGGAACAUUAAUUAGCAUGGGCACUCCAUAUAACUAGGAAAUAUUAUGUGAGUGAAAAAGCAAAAGAAUAAAUUAGCAUAUAUAAUCCAUUUACGUUUUUAUACAGUAAAUGCAGAGAUAAUAUUAAUUGAUAUCUACAUUAAUAAGGAAGAAAAUGCAAAAGGAUAAUGUUCAGAAGAAUAAUGUUAUCAUAUUCCUUGGUAUGAUAAAUAUGGAUUAAGAAUAGAAAUUUGUUGAAGCCAAAUAUGCAUGUUUCGCCAACUAGCUUAUAAAAAUAUUGAAAUAAUUAGAGAUAUUUUGCAUGCAAUUUGAUUAGCAAGGACAAGUGAGCGUUACGCCUUUUCCAAUAACAAAUCUGAAGACCCUUUCAAUAAAAAUAUAAUAGCCUAAAUACCAAUCGAAUAAUACGUCGUCCAAUGACUUGGCAGGUAAUGUUACUUUCCAGAUGUGAGGCUAAUGGAACUGUGCACUUGGGAAUCCUCCAAGAAUGGUUUGGAAUACAUUGGUGGAACUCCCGAGCUUUCACUUUGUUCUGCACUAUCAUAUUUAUCAUGCUUUUGAGAUUAUUUGAGAUUAUGGUACAAAAACUUUUUUGUUCAUUCUUAUAUUUAUAGUUGUGGUUUUUUCUUAAUGGUUAUGAGAAGUACAAAACAUUAUUGAGAGGGCAUUGAUAGUAAAGGGGUAUACAGUACUUCUUGGAAGUUAAUUAUAUGCAAACUAGAUUUAUGUGAAAUUGUUGUUUGCUAUACAGGUAAACUAUGGUUCCAAACAAUUAUUCGAGACUCUGCCAGUGGCCACAGGAGGACUCUAUUGAAUUGGGAACCAGUUCAAAAUAUAAGCUUUUGUUACAGAUUCGUGUUCUCAAAUGAUGCUUCAUCUCCAUGACGUGUAUGAUACAAAGUCUCAAUAAGGUUAAGCAUUUGCCAACUCUACAGUAUUUCUAUAUGACCGUGGAUCUCCAUGUUCAUUUUUGUAACUUAUCGAUUAAUCUCACUUUCUACUUUAAUCGAUAAAUAUAAAAAUAAAAAUUGUUUACGGGUCACCAUGUGGAGAAGUAGAGGUAGAAUCUAAGCAUACUCAAGCUAGCUGGGUUGUGUUAGUAGCUUAAGUAUGAUCCAAAUCUAUUUUCUGUACUAUGACAUGAGCUGAUAGCUUAGCUUUUGAUGUUAUUGCACUUGAAUAACAUUAACUUUUGAUAGUUAGUAGCAAUUGAACUAUGACAUGAGCCGCUUGAAUGAGGCUGAAGCCUUUGAAGCUUGGGUUUUAGAUAGGGCUGGCAAAGUGACCCGAGACCCGUUAACCCGACACGAACCCGACCCGAUAUAAACAGGUUUGGGUUUAGCCUUAUCGGGUUGGCGGGUCAUUUUGACCCGAACCUGUUAACCUGUUUAAUAUACAGGUCGGGUUCAGGUCUGAAUAUUAACAGGUCGGGUCAGACCCGAAACCCGUUAGAAAACCCUAAGUAUAAAAUAGAAAAAUACCAAUACCCUAUCUAUCCUUGUUAUUUUCUUCUUGGCCGCCACCAUGAACAAACCAGUGAACCACCAUUAACGUCUGUUCUUCUUCAUGUAAAAUGGCAGCAUAUCAUUCAUCAUCAACUCUUCUUCCUUUAGAAGUUGAAAUCAAGAUUUCUUCAGCUAAUGAUCUUAAAAAUGUUAAUUGGAAACAUGGUGAUCUCAAAUCGUAUGUUGUUGUUUGGGUUGAUCCUAACUCCAAUUAAUCAUUCUUCUUCUUCUUCUUCAACUUCAUCAAUCUAUUGAUUUUUCUUCUCACUACUUUCCUUCCUUCUUUGCAGCUUUAAUCUGUCUAAGCCAUGUUCUGACGAAUUCUUGUCAACCAAAACGACCGUUUGAAGCAUAUAUUGGAUAGUACUGGUGUUGGCGGUGGUGAUGGCGAUGCUGUUGCUGAGAUCAACGGUGAGAUUAGAGCACGGUUUCUUGGAAUCAAAAGAAGAUGUACUUCUCUCAUUCUUCAGUUGACAAAUGUUUAUGAACAAAACAAUGAGUUAUCGGUUGUGAAUCUUUCAAUCGAAGAAAUCUUGAAAUAUAGAUGUUAGUACGUUUACUGUUUUUCAUGAUUCAUGAUGUUGAUGAAAAAUUGAGAUCCAUUGAUGAUGGUAAUUUUACAGAUAAUACAGAACCAGUUGGUUUUACGCCACGAUUUGGCUUCCAUCAUCCAAAUCAAGAAGCAACACCAUAUUACCCACAGUCAUAUACAAACAUUCAAUGUGUUUAAGAAAGCAGGUCUAAACAGGUCGACCUGAACCCGACCUGUUUAAUUAGCAGGUCAGGUUCGGGUUUAAGGAAAAAGAGUUAAACAGGUUAACAGGUCAGGUUCGGGUUUAAGCGAAAAACACCCCAACCUGUUAAGACCCGACCUGAACCCGACACGACCCGACACGAUUGCCACCCCUAGUUUUAGAUGACGUGAACAACAAAAUUGACUAUAGGAUUUUGAACCAACUUUUGUGUUAAGCUAGCAAGUGCUAGACAUGGUGGUAUUGACGACUGGAUGAAGAGUGAUAUUAAGCCUACCUUUGCUGCCUAAAGCAUUAACUCUUGCUUUCUUGAGUUUAAAUUUUUUUCCUUUUAAGAGCACAAGACAUUAUUUUAUUUAUUUAUUUUUUUUUUUUAUAAAGCAAAACAAGACACUUGACCACUGUGAUUCUAAAUUUCUGAUAUGAUCAUCCGACUAUAUUCUUUCCCAUAAUCAUCUUUUCUUUACUUAUGCGGUACUAUUUUGAUUCACAUUUUCCUUUGAGCAACACAAGACACUUGGGUAAACAAUUUUUUUUUAUCGUGAAUAGAUAUUAUAAAUAGGAACAUAAGGUCAUGUAUUUUAAUAAAAUAUUUGCAUUUAGCAUUUUGUGCAUACUUAGCUGGUGUAGCUCAGUUGGUUAGAGUGUGUGGCUUUUAAACCACAAAGUCGAAGGUUCAAGCCCUUCCUCCAGCAUCUGUAUUUACUGUAGCUUUGAUAUUUUGGCAUAAUAUUCAUAUUUAUCUCAAGUAGCUCAUUUUGUUCGAGUUUGAUGGUUUUUUACCUCGAUGUUGAGUUCAAGCCUUUUUUAUACAAUUUACAUUUUAAUUGCCAGUUUUAUUACAAUUUGGUGCUUUCAACGAUGUAAUGAAAUUAGUUUCAAUUCUUUUAUAUUGUCAUCAUUCUAGCCUAGAACUAAUAUGUUACACGGCACACAGCUGUUUUCAUCCUCGAAAUCGUUGCGAUCUUUAGAAACUAACACAAAUAGUUGUGAAACAUGGUCUUUAAUGAAGAUGAAGAUAGCUGGCGGACGAAAUUGAGCAGAAAAGGGGAUUUUUUUGUCCACUCCAUGGGUUUUUUAGAAGAAUUUUUUAUCAAAGUUUGUUUGGUAAUUUCUAUGACUUUUCUAAGGUCCCUAUUCUAACCCUCAUGUACAAUUGGCCAAAACAGUUUUUCUAAACAAAAUUUCAUAGUAUUCGGUAUCUCCUGAUAUAGCAAUUGCAACAUCUCCAAGCUUGAAACUCUCACCUGUUCAGAACUUUGUUUAUGGUGUUUCACGUGGUGGAUAGACUUGAGCUUUGGCGGAAGUGCUAUCAAUAGUUGAAAGUAACAACAUGCGUACUAUCAGCAUGUUCCUGCAAGAUUGUUGUCUAUUGUUCCUAGCACAACAACUGAUCUUAAAUAUGGCUGAAACAUUGGCCCAAACUUCUUCACGAGCUCACUAUGUUCCCUAGGUACUGAAGGUGAUUUUUUCUUUUUUAUCUAAAUUUUGGACAGAACAUGAAAAUAACAUGUUACUUAUUGUUUCCUUGGCUGUCUAAUUUCAGAUAUCAUUUGAAAUUCAAAGACCGGAGGAAUUGGCUAUUAAAGAAUCUAGGGAUUAAAGCAUUUAUAUGUAAAUAAAAAAUAAUCUAACAACCAACAAUUUCAACAAUAAGUUAUGACAGUAGUGAUAUCCAAAUUAUCAAAAAAUAAUUAUAGGUUCAAAAUGUCAAUAAGAAAAUCGAUGUAUCUCAUUGACUGGAAAGAAGCAAAUGAGAUUAUGGAGGUAUUCUUCGAAGAAAAAAAAAAGAUAUGAACAAACAAAGACUAAGAAAGAAACAGUCAUUGGAGAGAAGAUACAAAUAUAAGAUAAGUUAAGCGUCAAAAUAGAGAAUCUCAACAACAAUAAAAUAAUUUAUUUAUGUUGUUUUGAGAAAAUCCUACAUAUUAUUGUGUAAGGUAGUAUUUUCAAUAGAAAAUAUUACAUUGCCGACUGCAAUUUACGAAUAUGUUAUCAUAUUUUUGAUAAAAUUAUUGUCACACAAACUUCUAUUAAAUGGUUUCUUUGAAAAAAAUGGUUGUUCAUUUCGUCAUACCAUAUGUGAUUUUAACUUUUAUUUCUACAUCACAUGAUUAUCUUGAGUGGAAUAGAUAUUUGUGUUGUUCAUAACAUCAAACUGGUGGCUUUUUUGUCUCUGUCAAACUACGUUAAUCACUCGCUUAGGGAUGGACACAGAUAAUAAGAUAGAGCUAAUUUUUGAAGGUAUUACUAUUGAUAACGGAUGGUAUACAGUUGACCUUUAUGGCAUACUUACAAGUUAUUAUGGACAAAUAAUAUAUCCAAAUGCUUUUUUGAAAACAAUCUGAAAGGAGAAAAUAAUGGAAAUAAUAAGAUCAACAGUAGAAGAUAUACCACCAGAAGAAGAAGAUGAUACAUAUAUGGACGAAAUGGACAAAAUGGACCUGAUGAAAAAAAAGAUGAUAUACAAGAAAUUUCAAAUGGAUACAUUGAGCUGUUAGAGAUAUUUACUCUAAAAAAUUUAGUUAAUUAGAUUAAUUAUUAUAUUUUUAAGAAUAAUUACUUCAAAUAAAUAAUGGUUGACCAACAUCACCUGAGUAUCUGACAGUCAGAAACCUACUCAGUUUUGCACAGUUGUACUGAGCAUUUGUUGUGUUAUAGCAGUAGCUUAAUGUUACCACCUAUGAUGCAAAAUUUUUGUUAUUAGAGUAUUUGACUAUAGGGACCAAUUAUGUGAUUAUUUAUAAUUUAGAUCAACAAUUUUAUCCAUGCAUCAAUGUCCCUAAGACUAUAAAGCGUCAGAACAAUUAUAUUUUUUAAAUAAAAAAAAAUUAUAUUUUUUAGAGUUCUAUUUUCAAAUUAUUAAUGGUAGUCGUGGCAGCGCCACGGGUUUUACUAGUAUAUAUAUAGGCAUCAUAAUGUCAAUCACUUGCUCAGCUAAUAUAGGUGAGUGCCACCUUGCAUCCUUUUCUGACACAUCAACUUGAUUGCUAAUCAAGUAUCACUGAUGGUCUACCUAAUCACCUGGAUUAAUAGUGUGGGCUUGGAUUUGGACAUCCACUAUUUACAACAAGCCCAAAUAUAUGUGUAGAAGAACAUAGAUGACAGUAUUCACCAGAGCUUGGACGCUUGGUUGCAGAUCGAGAACAAAGAGGGAAAUCUGAAAUUUUUAUUUUUUAACGAGGGAAAAGUUUUGCGAAAUACAGGCCCUUUUAGAUAGAGCCCAACCCAACAAAGAAGCCUGGUGUGGUGUUUGAUGAUAAGUAGGGUUCUUUUCUUUUAACUAUAAAUUAUUGUUUCUCUCUUAUCGAUUGAUCUUCUACCAUCAAAUUAGGGUUUCUUCUUCAUCUCCAUUGUAACACAACAUCAUGAGGGCUAAGGUAACAACAACAUCUUUAACUCUUUCUAUCUCUUAAUCUAUUACAAUUGUUGUUCUCUUUCUAUCUCUUAAUCUAUUAAAAUUGUUGUUAGUAAUGUGUAGGUUUUGAUAUAUUGUGUGAUUUGUUUGUUUGUUAUUUGAUUUAUACAACAGUGGAAGAAGAAGCGAAUGAGGAGAUUGAAGAGGAAGCGUCGAAAGAUGAGACAGAGAUCCAAGUAGAUUGAUCGAAAUUAAAGUUUUAUGUUUUUGUUUUGUUUUAGUCGGUAGAUAUAUGUAUCGAUAUCGGAGUUUUCUUUUUAGAUCGGAAACGAUUUCACUUUCGGCGGAUGAAUCGGAAUCGGAAUAGCUACUAAAAUAGUAGUUUUAUGUUUAUCGUAAUUUGUAUCGGAUUUUAUGGGUUUUUUCCUAAUAUCGGAAGAAUCGGAUUAGUAGCUUAUGGUUAUGGUUAUUUGGAUGAAUGUUUGAUUUGAUUAAUUAGUUUGAUUUAGUUUUUAAUUUUUUAUUAAAUUGAAAAGAUAGCAUGGCCUGAGAUUAAGAUUAGUUUCAUAAUUCCUUUAUUCAUGAUUUGCCCCUUGUUUGCGGUUUUUAUUUAAGCAAUUUUUAUCACUAAAAUUAGUCAUGCUUUCACACUAAAAACCUUUACAUGAUAG
RNAcentral lists this long non-coding RNA (37842 nucleotides) under Aquilegia coerulea. RNAcentral describes it as "long non-coding RNA (ACOE_LNC000294)". The stretch from base 34434 to 34508 matches the Rfam family "tRNA". The record is from RNAcentral. Lineage: Eukaryota; Viridiplantae; Streptophyta; Magnoliopsida; Ranunculales; Ranunculaceae.